CCUACGGGUGGCAGCAGUGAGGAAUAUUGGUCAAUGGACGAGAGUCUGAACCAGCCAAGUAGCGUGAAGGAUGACUGCCCUAUGGGUUGUAACCUUCUUUUAUAUGGGAAUAAAAUGUUUCACGUGUGGCAUUUUGUAUGUACCUUAUGAAUAAGGAUCGGCUAACUCCGUGCCAGCAGCCGCGGUAAUACGGAGGAUCCGAGCGUUAUCCGGAUUUAUUGGGUUUAAAGGGAGCGUAGGUGGAUUGUUAAGUCAGUUGUGAAAGGUUGCGGCUCAACCGUAGCAUUGCAGUUGAAACUGGCAGUCUUGAGUACAGUAGAGGUAGGCGGAAUUCGUGGUGUAGCGGUGAAAUGCUUAGAUAGCACGCAGAACUCCGAUUGCGAAGGCAGCUCACUGGACUGCAACUGACACUGAGGCACGAAAGUGUGGGUAUCAAACAGGAUUAGAUACCCUUGUAGUC
This 460-nucleotide ribosomal RNA is filed under the name uncultured bacterium. RNAcentral describes it as "partial 16S ribosomal RNA". It matches the Rfam family "Bacterial small subunit ribosomal RNA", at positions 338 to 795 of the family's 1533-position model. The record is from RNAcentral.